AGGACGAACGCUGGCGGCGUGCCUAACACAUGCAAGUCGAGCGAGGAGAUUCCUCGGGAUGAUCCUAGCGGCGGACGGGUGAGUAACACGUGGGCAACCUGCCUCAUAGAGAGGAAUAGCCUUCCGAAAGGGAGAUUAAUACCUCAUAACAUUGCAGUUUCGCAUGGAACAGCAAUUAAAGGAGCAAUCCACUAUGAGAUGGGCCCGCGGCGCAUUAGCUAGUUGGUGAGGUAACGGCUCACCAAGGCGACGAUGCGUAGCCGACCUGAGAGGGUGAUCGGCCACAUUGGGACUGAGACACGGCCCAGACUCCUACGGGAGGCAGCAGUGGGGAAUAUUGCACAAUGGGGGAAACCCUGAUGCAGCCAACGCCGCGUGAGUGAUGACGGCCUUCGGGUUGUAAAGCUCUGUCUUCAGGGACGAUAAUGACGGUACCUGAGGAGGAAGCCACGGCUAACUACGUGCCAGCAGCUGC
RNAcentral lists this ribosomal RNA (475 nucleotides) under uncultured bacterium. RNAcentral's name for it is "bacterial SSU rRNA". It matches the Rfam family "Bacterial small subunit ribosomal RNA", at positions 26 to 518 of the family's 1533-position model. The record is from RNAcentral.